Molecule: ribosomal RNA, 253 nt
Filed under: uncultured bacterium
Lineage: Bacteria
Description: partial 16S ribosomal RNA
Rfam family: Bacterial small subunit ribosomal RNA
Source: RNAcentral
UACAGAGGUCUCAAGCGUUAUCCGGAUUCACUGGGUUUAAAGGGUGCGUAGGUGGGCAAGUAAGUCAGUGGUGAAAUCUCCGGGCUUAACCCGGAAACUGCCAUUGAUACUAUUUGUCUUGAAUACUGUGGAGGUCAGCGGAAUAUGUCAUGUAGCGGUGAAAUGCUUAGAUAUGACAUAGAACACCAAUUGCGAAGGCAGCUGGCUACACAAAUAUUGACACUGAGGCACGAAAGCGUGGGGAUCAAACAGG